GCGUCUAUGGUCUAGUGGUUAGGAUUCAACCCUUCCAAUUCGGCUCUGUAACAAGAGUUGAAGUUGCUAGGUUGAGGGGGGGGUUCGAUUCCCUCUGGUCGCA
Non-coding RNA from Podospora didyma, 103 nucleotides. NCBI's taxonomy places the organism in Eukaryota, Fungi, Ascomycota, Sordariomycetes, Sordariales, Podosporaceae. The record is from the annotation of a GenBank genome assembly.